UACACCUCUUGGCGAGGGUGUUCCUCCAAUUUUCUGAACAAAGCUCAAGACAUACCUUAAAUAAAAGUUGAAGUGCUCAAAUUUAGAGCAACUCCUUCAAUAACACCUUGGUCUAAUUCAACUUAGAAGCUGCCCAAAAAUCGACUCAAACAUAGCAAAUUUGGCUAAGUCUGGAUUUCCAGAUUUUUAGCAAACUUUGGCAUGAGAUAUCUUCAAAUCCUUUCACAAUCUAAACCGAC
This 239-nucleotide long non-coding RNA is filed under the name Setaria viridis. RNAcentral's name for it is "long non-coding RNA (SVIR_LNC009299)". The record is from RNAcentral. Lineage: Eukaryota; Viridiplantae; Streptophyta; Magnoliopsida; Poales; Poaceae.